GGGGAUUAUGCUCAGGUCAGGGGGCCUAAAUAAAUAGCUGUUUUGUUUAUAAUACUGCCCAGCAGGCAUCUGGGUUCACCGAUAAACACAAAACUUGUGGUCUUCCUAUGAAUACAUAUGUAC
Molecule: small nucleolar RNA, 123 nt
Organism: Sorex araneus (European shrew)
Lineage: Eukaryota; Metazoa; Chordata; Mammalia; Eulipotyphla; Soricidae
Source: Ensembl